CUCGCAUAUACCACUCCAGGCCUCGGACAGAGGCCACACCAGGAUGAGGAAGAAAGGGGCACAAAUACAAACACAGCCCCCCCCCCGAGAUAGAUAGAUAGAUAGAUAGAUAGAUAGAUAGAUAGAUAGAUAGAUAUACACACAGAGAUAUACGAGAGCGCUGUAACAGUGAAUGACUCCAGACUUACGGAAUCCGUGAACUGCGCCCCCCGGCCUUCUUCUCCUUGCCAGUCGCCCACUUUGAAAUGGGGGUGCCCACUUUUCUUCCAAAUCUUUUUUUCGGGGAGAGGCAGGCAGCCAGCCAGCCGAGACGCCUUUCUGCUGCCCCCCCCCCUUCCCCGUUGGUCGUGUGGCUCUGGUUUCUUAUUUUUCUUAUUAUUAUUUUAAUCUUUCCCUGGGAAAUUAAAAGCGAAUUCCCUGGGCUCUCUCCGCUCCACUUCUCUUAAAAAUCUCCCUUCCGUAGAGAAUCUGGGCACAAGUUGGAGCCGCUCUCCAUCCGGAAUCCCCCCCACCCCCGAUGCGCCCUCAAGGACCAAGAGAAGCAAAUAGAUGGGUGGGGAGGAAGGAAGGAAGGAUGGGGAGUGAGACGAGAGGGCCCUGCUGGCUCCCGGGGGGCUCGCCGCCCCCCACUCCCGGCCGCCACCAGGCCCCUCCAAGCCGAUCCGUGCGCGGCGCAGGGCAAGUUCGAGGACGCCUGCGGUGGGAGGGGGAAUUUGGGGAGGGGGCUAAGCAGCUGCCGUAGAAGUCAGAGCCCAGCCAGAGGCCCCCUCCUGCCCGGGGGGGGAGAACUGUCCGUAAAAGAGGAAAUUCCCCAUGUCCGCCGCCUCUCCAGGGUGCAGCGCCUCCCCUUUAAAUGGGGAGGGGGGCUGGGACCCCCCCUCUUCCUGUCUUCCCCCCCCCCUUUAAUGGCACACUAUCUCCUUGUCGCUUUUCUCCAGGACGGGGGGGGUGGGGUGGGGAGAGAGGGAGAUGAUGAGGAGCCGAUGUUGGUCUCUUCCUCUCCUGCAAAAUUGGGUGGGAGCGACGCAGCCCCCCCCCACACGCCCCCACCGCUCCUCCUGUGCUGCUGCUGGGGCCGCUCGGAUCGUCCUUCCUUCUCUUCCUCUCGCUACGGUCCUUCAAUCAUUCGACGGCGGCGGCGGCAGCGACGGCAGGCUUGGGGGGGAAAGAGGGAGGGGGAGGGAUGGCGAAGAUGCAAUUCCGUGCUCCGCGCCCGGAUCCUCCGGGGGGCGACGAGGAGGAGGGGGAAAGAGCGGUCGCUCCUGCUGCGCCCCCUCCCUUGUUUCCCAAACUCGGUCGCCUCGGAAGGAAAUCUAAAAAGUAUUUCUGUGCAUGCAUGCUGAGUUGCCCGUUUCCUUGGUUGUUUGCAUUCACCAUCACAACAUUCUCUGGAGACAGAAAGGAAUUGUAAACUUCAAGAGUGCUUCUGAGCAUCUGCAGGUAGCAGCCUCUACUUAAGUAUCUCUCCACAGAAAUCAACACA
This 1483-nucleotide long non-coding RNA is filed under the name Salvator merianae (Argentine black and white tegu). RNAcentral describes it as "lncRNA (ENSSMRG00000005919.1)". The record is from RNAcentral. Lineage: Eukaryota; Metazoa; Chordata; Lepidosauria; Squamata; Teiidae.